GACGAACGCUGGCGGCGUGCUUAACACAUGCAAGUCGAACGGAAAGGCCCUGCUUUUGUGGGGUGCUCGAGUGGCGAACGGGUGAGUAACACGUGAGUAACAUGCCCUUGACUUUGGGAUAACUCCAGGAAACUGGGGCUAAUACCGGAUAGGAGAUCCUGCUGCAUGGUGGGGGUUGGAAAGUUUCGGCGGUUGAGGUUGGACUCGCGGCUUAUCAGCUUGUUGGUGGGGUAGUGGCUUACCAAGGCUUUGACGGGUAGCCAGCCUGGGAGGGUGACCGGCCCCAGAGGCCCAGGGGUGCGAGCCGUACGGCAUCUUGCGGCAGGGGCGAGAACUUGACCGCACUGCGCGGCGUCCUGGAGGAGCAACGCCGGGUGCGGGAUCUCGGCCUUCGGGUAGGAAACAGUUUGUGCGUGAGUAGACGCGUGAGUACCGUAACUGGGUAAAGAGGCACCGCUAACUUCGUU
This 467-nucleotide ribosomal RNA is filed under the name uncultured bacterium. Its description in RNAcentral is "partial 16S ribosomal RNA". It matches the Rfam family "Bacterial small subunit ribosomal RNA", at positions 28 to 507 of the family's 1533-position model. The record is from RNAcentral.